Molecule: ribosomal RNA, 496 nt
Filed under: uncultured bacterium
Lineage: Bacteria
Description: partial 16S ribosomal RNA
Rfam family: Bacterial small subunit ribosomal RNA
Source: RNAcentral
GACGAAAGAGGGGGGCGUGCCUAAUACAUGCAAGUUGAGCGCUGACGGCUGGUACUUGUACCAACUGGAUGAGCAGCGAACGGGUGAGUAACGCGUGGGGAAUCUGCCUUUGAGCGGGGGACAACAUUCGGAAACGAAUGCUAAUACCGCAUAAAAACUUGAAACACAAGUUUUAAGUGUGAAAGAUGCAAUUGCAUCAUGCAAAGAUGAUCCCGCGUUGUAUUAGCGGGUUGGUGAGGUAAAGGCUCACCAAGGCGAUGAUACAUAGCCGACCUGAGAGGGUGACCGGCCACAUUGGAACUGAGACACGGCCCAGACUCCUCCGGGAGGAAGCAGUGGGGAAUCUUGCGCAAUGGGCGAAAGCUUGACGGAGCAACGCCGCGUGGGUGAUGAAGGUUUUCGGAUCGUAAACCUCUGUUGUUGGGGAGGAAGUAGUGGGAAGGGAAAUGUUCACGCAUUGACGGUACCUAACCAGAAAGCGACGGCUAACUACGUG